Molecule: long non-coding RNA, 3745 nt
Organism: Felis catus (domestic cat)
Lineage: Eukaryota; Metazoa; Chordata; Mammalia; Carnivora; Felidae
Exons: 2
Source: RefSeq, a predicted model, not a curated record
GCGUUUUCUCAUGUGUCUGUUAGCCAUCUGGAUGUCUUCUUUGGAGAAGUGUCUAUUCAUGUCUUUUGCCCAUUUCUUCACUGGAUUGUUUGUUUUUUGGGUGUUGAGUGAUGGUUAAUAUUUAAAUGGAAUGUUGGUCUUGCUCACUCCUUGAGGCAUGAAACCUGUACUUUUCUUCUUGUCUCCUGGUUUGGCUGUAUACACAUGCGGGCCCGCGUUCUGCAUACUCCUACAGCACAUUGUGUAAAUGGUGUGACAUAGCAGAAACCCCCCAACAACCUCUCAGUAGUCACUACUGUAGUUCCAAACUGUUUACAGGCACCUGAUUUCUUUCCUCCAUACCCUUUAACUCCUGAUUUUCCUUGUGUCUGGCCUAGUAAUUCUUUUUCCUUUUUACAACCUCAUCUUGUAUGUUGGACCUGACACUCAGAACCACUUCUUCUUUUAUGUGUUUCCGCUUCCUCCCUCAGCAGUGACUAAGAUUGUCCCUCCAGCCUGGCUGCUUUUGCUUUUGCUCCAUGAAUGGCAUUCCCUGUCUGACCUGGCCUUGAGACCCUCCUCAUUUGCUCCUUGUGUAUAUUGCUCUCCUCUUAGUUUGUCUGGAAGCUCUCACUUAAGAAAUACAGUGUACGUUGAGGCUCUUUGACUUUAUAGUUGGCUAGGAUUAUGUCUAUUAAAUUUGUUUGUGUUUUGGACUCAGACUACCUGACUGGAGACCAUCAUGGGGGCUAAGGCUUUUUGAUGUUCCUUUUAAUUGGAGAAAGAGAUAAGAAGUCUAGACAUAAUUAUGGGUCGAGUGGCCUACAGAAAACCUCUAAUCUUUCAUUUUGAAGUAAAAGAACAUUGGCUUACAAUUUAUGGGCCUUCAUUUCCAGUGCAUUUUGUAAAAGGCUGCUCACUACUCUCUAAGUCGUAUUCCUUAUUGAUAUUUCUUUAUAUAGUGUUUAUAUUUUGUUGUUAAAUUUGUCCUGUGUAUCAUAUGAUAUGUAUGGGUACUUCUUUGUAUAAAUUUGUCCUGCGUAUCAUAUAAUAUGUAUUGCUACUUUCUUGUAUAAUAUUUUUUUAUUAAAUUUCUAGUGGAGCAUAAAUUUAAUGACUUUUUUUGGUACAUUUAUCUUGCAUCUGUGCAUCUUAGUAAAUUCUUUUAUUAGUUUAAACGUUUAAUUAGAGUUGAAUAUUCAAAGUAUAUAAUCUUGUCUGCAUUUUCAAAGCCUAUAAUCUUAUCAUCUGCUACUAUUUGCAUAUAUAUGUAGUUUCUUCUUACAUCGGUCAUCAAAACAAUUAUUUUAAAAGAAUUAAUGAUAGUCAUCCUUGUUGGGUUUCUCAUUUUAAUAAAUGUACUUCAGCAUUUAGCAUCGUUUGCUCUUGAAUUUUGCUGAAAUAUAUCUUUGUUUUUAUCAUGUUUAGGUAGUUUUCAUCUUUCCUGUUUAAGUGUUUUUAACACACUUAUUUAUUGACCUAAUUUGUUAUAUACAUCCUGGGAGCCAUAAGGGGUCUUGUUAUCUGUUCUGCAGAUUUGAUCAGAGUCAAGAAUUCUUCAUCAUAAAAUUAUAUGCCUGCUGAAGAGGGCUGGGAAUCCGUUUACUUGACGUAUUUCGUCUCAGUGACCUAUGACCUCUAGCCAAUCUGUGAAAUGAGAGACAGAGGCUGUGUCAACUCUAAAUUAGUUCCGUCUUUAUGUACCUACAUAAUUUGUACCCCAAACCAUCCAUUUAUAUGACAUUCUGUAUAGUGGCAGAAUCAUUAACAGGUUUGUGCACGUUUUUCUUAAGGUAAAAUGGACAGCAUAUAAUAUCUGCUUUUUACUUAGAGUUCUAGUUUUUAAUGAAUAGUAAUGUACUCAGCCAGAACGUGUUAUUUUCGUGUGUACGGACAUGGACUGAUUUAAACUAUUUCUUGCAAACUGAACCAUGAAUCGUUACAAUUUUCAUAAAGAACUGGACCCAAAAGUAGUGAAUUUUUAUUGUCCAAUGAACUCCCCCUAGUUUAGAAAAAUAUACUGUGACUCAGUUCACGUUAGAUCUGUGUUUAAUUAUUUACAAAACUGCAUUGGAAGAAAAUUGUAAUGCAUAUUAUUCUGUGGAAUGGUUUAUUUCCAUUUUUUUAAAUACAAGUCUUGGAUGAAAGAGGCUGCAAAAGGACGUCAUUGACAAGUGUGCCCUUUCUCACCAGGAACCACAUGAGGAUCCCGCGGCAGCUUUAGGCACCCCCUCCUAAGUUGAGUGUUCUAACAGGUUUUCCUUUACCUGCGGCUGCCAGAAAUUGUUGGCAAGAAUCAUUAUUUGGUCCACUCUUGGUGUUCAGGAUUGUUGCCUCUGGCGGCAGGGCUAACCCCAGUGUUUCUGAGAAAGGUGGAAACGUGCCCUAUUAGCUCUGGGAAGCUGCGGGGGGAGAACUACCCCCUCAGACAGUUAUUUUAUAUUAUCCUUUACGGCACUUGUGAUACGUUCAUUAUUCAUCCUUCUCCAAGCAUGCUCAUUAUAAAUGCUAUGUAAUUACAUUUUAAAGGCAAACUGUGUAUCCAGAGUAUCACCAGGUAUCCCACUCCAAGUCACCCUGAGUCUUCACCCCAAACCUCUGCCCCGUAGGAGACACAUGUUUCCUUUUUGUGUCUUGUUAGAGGUCCACAAGCUGGGAGCUACACCCAUGUCUCUUUGAGUUGUCCCUUGAGUUUCUGGCCAUCCCCAGCAUUGAAACAGGCAUCUCGUUUGGGUAGUGUCGGUGCUCUCCCAGGGUAUGUUUUAAUAAUGUGCAGUAAUUAAAGUUUUGCUUUUCCGGACCUUUCUGAAUAUCUGUGAUGUUUAAACAUUUUUUGUUCAGAAUAUGUGAGUGUCCUUCGUUGAUUCAAUUAGCCUUUAGUGCUUUACAUAGUAGUGUGUACUCCGUGAAUUUUUGUUCAAUCACAUGGCAGGAAUGUGUACGACUUUGGUGGACUAUGAAGUUUUGUGUCAGUUAUCAGAAAUUCUUAGAUUUCUUAAUUCCUCUUUGCCUAUUUUUAAUGUUGACAGUAGUAAGUGAGGCAUUGUAAGUCCACGGGGAGGUUAGAAGGGAUGGUGAUGAUGAUGAUGAGUGUGUAUGUGUGCUUAUGUGCGUCCAUUGGCAUGUAUUUAUUCGUAUGUAGGCAAGAGUGAGGAUAAAGCAGUAGUGAGAAUGGCAGAAAAAAGAGACAAAAUUAUCUCACUAUGUUCUGCAAAUUGCUUUAGGCCAUUUGGACCAUUUGAUUUUUCAUGGAUCCCUCAAGAUCCAUUGUACUAAGAGCAGGUACUACACAGAGCCCUGGAGACAGCCUCAAAGAACUUGGUCCAGAGGAGGAGUAGCAGAGAACCGUGUGGUCAAGGCUUUGAUUAAGAGACAUGGACCUGGCCUGAGAGUACUCAACAUCUUACAAGAUGUGAAGAGAUUUGGGAAGAAAAGAGAGUGGCUGAGCCCAAAUUCACUUCAAGUGUUAGAAAAUUAACUUACAUUAAUUCAGAGUGGAUUGGCACAUUGCCUUAGUAUAAAUUAUAGUUAAUGUCCAGCAUAAUCUGUGGCUAUGUAAAAUUAAGAACACCAUUUCUCUUGGAUAGUAUUAAACUGAAUUUAUUCAGUCAAUCUUACAAGAUCCUAUAAUGCGAAAGAAUUCACCUUUCAAAUGGAUAUACUCUAAUAUUUUGGUUUAUAAUUAAUUUGGGCUAUUCUGGAUAUUUGCUGCAUCAUAUGCACAAUCUAAAUAUUAUUAACAUGCACAGAUUAAAAUGGAAAAGGA